RNAcentral lists this ribosomal RNA (429 nucleotides) under uncultured archaeon. RNAcentral describes it as "bacterial SSU rRNA". It matches the Rfam family "Archaeal small subunit ribosomal RNA", at positions 474 to 903 of the family's 1478-position model. The record is from RNAcentral.
UACCUGCAGCUCGAGUGGUAACCGCUUUUAUUGGGCCUAAAGCGUCCGUAGCCGGUUUGGUAAAUAUCUGGGUAAAUCGUGAGGCUUAACUUCACGAAUUUCGGAUAGACUGCCAGACUUGGGAUCGGGGGAGGUCAGAGGUACUCCAGGGGUAGCGGUGAAAUGUUGUAAUCCUUGGAGGACCACCGGUAGCGAAGGCGUCUGACUAGAACGAGUCCGACGGUGAGGGACGAAGCCCUGGGGCGCAAACCGGAUUAGAUACCCGGGUAGUCCAGGGUGUAAACUAUGUGGGCUUUGUAUUGGAGGUCCCACGUGGGCGUCCAGUGCAGAAGAGAAGUUGUUAAGCCCACCGCCUGGGAAGUACGGUCGCAAGGCUGAAACUUAAAGGAAUUGGCGGGGGAGCAUAGCAACGGGAGGAGCGUGCGGUUU